This 301-nucleotide ribosomal RNA is filed under the name uncultured bacterium. RNAcentral describes it as "partial 16S ribosomal RNA". It matches the Rfam family "Bacterial small subunit ribosomal RNA", at positions 509 to 807 of the family's 1533-position model. The record is from RNAcentral.
CAGCAGCCGCGGUAAAACGGAGGGGGCUAGCGUUGUUCGGAAUUACUGGGCGUAAAGCGCACGUAGGCGGCUUUGUAAGUUAGAGGUGAAAGCCUGGGGCUCAACUCCAGAAUUGCCUUUAAGACUGCAUCGCUUGAACGUCGGAGAGGUGAGUGGAAUUCCGAGUGUAGAGGUGAAAUUCGUAGAUAUUCGGAAGAACACCAGUGGCGAAGGCGGCUCACUGGACGACUGUUGACGCUGAGGUGCGAAAGCGUGGGGAGCAAACAGGAUUAGAGACCCGCGUAGUCCCUGUCUCUUAUAC